Long non-coding RNA from Oncorhynchus tshawytscha (Chinook salmon), 649 nucleotides. NCBI's taxonomy places the organism in Eukaryota, Metazoa, Chordata, Actinopteri, Salmoniformes, Salmonidae. The record is from Ensembl.
UCCUCUGUCUCCAUCUCAGAUCAGUCCUCCCUCCCUCCUCUGGCUCCGUCUCAUAUCAGUCCUCCCUCCAUCCUCUGGCUCCGUCUCAGAUCAGUCCUCCCUCCCUCCUCUGGCUCCGUCUCAUAUCAGUCCUCCCUCCUCUGACUCCGUCUCAGAUCAGUCCUCCCUCCCUCCUCUGGCUCCGUCUCAGAUCAGUCCUCCCUCCUCUGACUCCGUCUCAGAUCAGUCCUCCCUCCUCUGGCUCCGUCUCAUAUCAUUCCUCCCUCCUCUGGCUCCGUCUCAUAUCAGUCCUCCCUCCUCUGACUCCGUCUCAGGUCAGUCCACCAUCCCUCCUCUGGCUCGGUCUCAUAUCAGUCCUCCCUCCUCCGGCUCCGUCUCAGAUCAGUCCUCCCUCCUCUGGCUCCGUCUCAUAUCAGUCCUCACUCCUCUGGCUCCGUCUCAGAUCAGUCCUCCCUUCUCUGGCUCCAUCUCAGAUCAGUCCUCCCUCCCUCCUCUGGCUCCGUCUCAUAUCAGUCCUCCCUCCAUCCUCUGGCUCCGUCUCAGAUCAAUCAGUCCUCCCUCCUCUGGCUCCGUCUCAUAUCAGUCCUCCCUCCCUCCUCUGGCUCUGUCUCAGAUCAGUCCUCCAUCCUCUGGCUCCGUCUCAAAUCAG